AGCAGAACAGCUUUCCUGAUGGAUACAGGUUAGACAUAGAGGAUUCAGGAGAGCAGUUCAAUAGACAGAGAGAUAGAAUGCUCCAAAUUAUUGCAGUGGAGCAAGGGAGGUGAGGUGAUGAGUGAUGAGUGAGGACCCAGGAGGGCUGAGCAAAGAUGAGUCUGACAUUGAUGACCAAAUUGUGAUCCCAAGAAAUGAAUACUUUCAGCCGAGUCAGCUACCUCAUGAGUUUGAGAGGUCAGAUGUUCCUGUAACUCUACCAUUUCUCAGAGGGAAUGUUAUAUUACUACAAGAGAAACCACCAGUUGCAUUCUUCAACCAAAGGGAAACCUACAUCAAACUUUCCUGGACAUCUAAACUUGGGGUGGAGUCAAGAUGGCAGCUUAGCAAGCAGCAAAAGUACAGACCUCGUGGAAGACCCUUCCUUACUGAUACAGACUGAAUGCUACUAGGGCACUGAAAUUCA
This 466-nucleotide long non-coding RNA is filed under the name Monodelphis domestica (gray short-tailed opossum). RNAcentral's name for it is "lncRNA (ENSMODG00000030104.2)". The record is from RNAcentral. Lineage: Eukaryota; Metazoa; Chordata; Mammalia; Didelphimorphia; Didelphidae.